CAGUCGCCGCGGUAAUACGGAGGGGGCUAGCGUUGUUCGGAAUUACUGGGCGUAAAGCGUACGUAGGCGGCUUUGUAAGUUAGAGGUGAAAGCCUGGUGCUCAACACCAGAACUGCCUUUAAGACUGCAUCGCUUGAACGUCGGAGAGGUGAGUGGAAUUCCGAGUGUAGAGGUGCAAUUCGUAGAUAUUCGGAAGAACACCAGUGGCGAAGGCGGCUCACUGGACGACUGUUGACGCUGAGGUACGAAAGCGUGGGGAGCAAACAGGAUUAGAUACCCCGGUAGUCCCUGUCUCUUAUAC
Molecule: ribosomal RNA, 301 nt
Filed under: uncultured bacterium
Lineage: Bacteria
Description: partial 16S ribosomal RNA
Rfam family: Bacterial small subunit ribosomal RNA
Source: RNAcentral